CCUCAAUCAACAGGUCUCAGCAUGGAGUUCAAAGGAGCGUGUGUGCUUCUGGGAUUUCUGCUACUGGUCAACUGCUCAUUUCAGCAGAAUCCAGCGAAGAAGCCCGUGAAAAAAACUAAAGACACGGCCGUCUAGGAGCUGCAGAAACAGAUCAACGACAUCGUCCACGAGCUCAACCUGCUGAAGGAACAACAAGCCCUGCAGACUGGUAACAACAUCAUGGAUCAUACGCUUGAUCUUUGUUGUAUUGAUAAAGGAGUACAAAUAAUUCAGCAAAUAAUGCCUCCGGCACCCAAACACCAGGACUUGUAUUCCUAAACCAGGUGAAAGGGGCAACGGCCUCCAAAAGCCCAGAGUGCACUGUGUGCCAAUCAGAUGACUCAUCAGUGACUCAUCCUUUAUUGGAAUUUGCAAAAAUAAACGACAUGCAGGUUCUCAUUAUGUAAUCUUAUAGCCCCGUCUUGUAUGGUUUGUUAAAACCUUGUAUUUAAGCUAGUCUUAAUAGUUAUAACUUGUUGUAAAAAGUCUAAUAGGUAUCUUCGAAAAAGAAAAAGAUACAAUAAAGCUUUACAGCUAUCCAGUCUAAAAACAAAAAAAUUCUUAACAUUUUAAAAAACAUUUACAACAAACUCCAUUAGAUCAGGGAAAGCCAUAAGAAUAAAAAAAGUUUGAAGAGUUUUAAAAGAGCGUGCCGAGUUUAGACUUUCAUAACCGAGGGGAUUAAACGUCACCCUCAGAGACAUGGCAUAGUUUUAUUUAUAUAUUUUAGUUUAUAGUUCUCGUGGCGCAUGCAUAUAGUUGUUUGAAUAAAAUUACCACGCGACAAAUCAACUAGGUUCUUGUGUGUUCACCCGUGAACUCUUUCAGCUUCAGACAUGCAGGUGGACAAGCAGCCAUUGGCUAGUCAUUUUAUUACAAUGUGAGCAUUUUAAAGGGUUUCUGCCUAGAUUUAUUGAUGCAUGACAUGAUCUGCAUUACUCAGAGUACAGAAUAUGUACUCAAGUCAAAGUGAAUAGCUUCAGGUACACUUCUGCUGAAAAAAUAAAUUCAGAUGGGAACUGCACGUUUGGAUCUCAUUGUGGCGUCUGUUGUUGCUGGAUCUCCAUUAUGACUCACUGGUUGAAACAGACAUCCUUUCACCAUUACUAUAUUUUAACAACAAUAAUUGGUUGAGAUCUAUAAGCGAUAAGUGAUUUUUCAUGAACAUAAAAUAUAAAUGUAUAAUCUUCAGGUUCUUUCUUUAAAACAAUAUUUUAGUCUGCUACCCUUGUCAUCUUUGAAUGUCUAGCCUUUUGUAGCCUGAAAAAUAAACCAUGAAAACACA
This is a long non-coding RNA of Pseudoliparis swirei, 1324 nucleotides long. RefSeq lists it as uncharacterized. NCBI's taxonomy places the organism in Eukaryota, Metazoa, Chordata, Actinopteri, Perciformes, Liparidae. The transcript has 2 exons. The record is from RefSeq and is a predicted model, not a curated record.